UACGGAAGGCAGCAGUGGGGAAUAUUGCACAAUGGGCGAAAGCCUGAUGCAGCUAUGCCGCGUGUAUGAAGAAGGCCUUAGGGUUGUAAAGUACUUUCAUCGGGGAGGAAAAACAAAACUAAUAAUUUUAUUUCUUGACGUUACCCGAAAAAGAAGCACCGGCUAACUCCGUGCCAGCAGCCGCGGUAAUACGGAGGGUGCUAGCGUUAAUCAGAAUUACUGGGCGUAAAGAGCACGUAGGCGGUUUUUUUAAGUCAGAUGUGAAAUCCCUGGGCUUAACCUAGGAACUGCAUUUUGAAACUGAAAUACUAGAGUAUCGUAGAGGGAGGUAGAAUUCUAGGUGUAGCGGUGAAAUGCGUAGAUAUCUGGAGGAAUACCUGUGGCGAAAGCGGCCUCCUAAACGAAUACUGACACUGAGGUGCGAAAGCGUGGGGAGCAAGGCAGGGAUUAGAUACC
RNAcentral lists this ribosomal RNA (456 nucleotides) under uncultured bacterium. RNAcentral's name for it is "bacterial SSU rRNA". It matches the Rfam family "Bacterial small subunit ribosomal RNA", at positions 340 to 786 of the family's 1533-position model. The record is from RNAcentral.